UGGGGAAUAUUGCACAAUGGGCGCAAGCCUGAUGCAGCCAUGCCGCGUGUGUGAAGAAGGCCUUCGGGUUGUAAAGCACUUUCAGCGAGGAGGAAGGUGGUGGACUUAAUACGCUCAUCAAUUGACGUUACUCGCAGAAGAAGCACCGGCUAACUCCGUGCCAGCAGCCGCGGUAAUACGGAGGGUGCAAGCGUUAAUCGGAAUUACUGGGCGUAAAGCGCACGCAGGCGGUUUGUUAAGUCAGAUGUGAAAUCCCCGGGCUCAACCUGGGAACUGCAUUUGAAACUGGCAAGCUAGAGUCUCGUAGAGGGGGGUAGAAUUCCAGGUGUAGCGGUGAAAUGCGUAGAGAUCUGGAGGAAUACCGGUGGCGAAGGCGGCCCCCUGGACGAAGACUGACGCUCAGGUGCGAAAGCGUGGGGCAGCAAACAGGAUUAGAUACCCUGGUAGUCCACGCUGUAAACGAUGUCGAUUUUGGAGGUUGUGCCCUUGAGGCGUGGCUUCCGGAGCUAACGCGUUAAAUCGACCGCCUGGGGAGUACGGCCGCAAGGUUAAAACUCAAAGGAAUUGACGGGGUCUAGCUG
RNAcentral lists this ribosomal RNA (581 nucleotides) under uncultured bacterium. Its description in RNAcentral is "partial 16S ribosomal RNA". It matches the Rfam family "Bacterial small subunit ribosomal RNA", at positions 355 to 926 of the family's 1533-position model. The record is from RNAcentral.